Molecule: non-coding RNA, 72 nt
Organism: Ictidomys tridecemlineatus (thirteen-lined ground squirrel)
Lineage: Eukaryota; Metazoa; Chordata; Mammalia; Rodentia; Sciuridae
Source: Rfam
GUGGUUGUGGCUCAAGUGGUAGAGCCCUCGCCUAGCACGUGUGAGGCACUGGGUUCGAUCCUCAGCACCACA